GACAGAGGGUGCAAACGUUGUUCGGAAUUACUGGGCGUAAAGGGCUUGUAGGCGGCCAACUAAGUCAUACGUGAAAUCCCUCAGCUUAACUGGGGAACUGCGUGUGAUACUGGAUGGCUUGGAUUUGGGAGAGGGAUGCGGAAUUCCAGGUGUAGCGGUGAAAUGCGUAGAUAUCUGGAGGAACACCGGUGGCGAAGGCGGCAUCCUGGACCAAUAUUGACGCUGAGGAGCGAAAGCCAGGGGAGCAAACGGG
RNAcentral lists this ribosomal RNA (253 nucleotides) under uncultured bacterium. RNAcentral describes it as "partial 16S ribosomal RNA". It matches the Rfam family "Bacterial small subunit ribosomal RNA", at positions 524 to 776 of the family's 1533-position model. The record is from RNAcentral.